GAUGAACGCUGGCGGCGUGCCUAAUACAUGCAAGUCGAGCGAACGGACGAGAAGCUUGCUUCUCUGAUGUUAGCGGCGGACGGGUGAGUAACACGUGGAUAACCUACCUAUAAGACUGGGAUAACUUCGGGAAACCGGAGCUAAUACCGGAUAAUAUUUUGAACCGCAUGGUUCAACAGUAAAAGACGGUCUUGCUGUCACUUAUAGAUGGAUCCGCGCUGCAUUAGCUAGUUGGUAAGGUAACGGCUUACCAAGGCAACGAUGCAUAGCCGACCUGAGAGGGGAAUCGGCCACACUGGAACUGAGACACGGUCCAGACUCCUACGGGAGGCAGCAGUAGGGAAUCUUCCGCAAUGGGCGAAAGCCUGACGGAGCAACGCCGCGUGAGUGAUGAAGGUCUUCGGAUCGUAAAACUCUGUUAUUAGGAAAGAACAUAUGUGUAAGUAACUGUGCACAUCUUACGGUACCUAAUCAGAAAGCCACGGCUAACUACGUG
RNAcentral lists this ribosomal RNA (496 nucleotides) under uncultured bacterium. Its description in RNAcentral is "partial 16S ribosomal RNA". It matches the Rfam family "Bacterial small subunit ribosomal RNA", at positions 28 to 507 of the family's 1533-position model. The record is from RNAcentral.